GUGAUGAAUGAUGAAAUAAAUCAGACGGAUUCCCACUGAUUUCUUUUUGAACGUGAUUACUCACCAGCUACUUCUGACACAC
Magnolia sinica is the source of this 82-nucleotide small nucleolar RNA. RefSeq annotates it as small nucleolar RNA R12. Lineage: Eukaryota; Viridiplantae; Streptophyta; Magnoliopsida; Magnoliales; Magnoliaceae. The record is from RefSeq and is a predicted model, not a curated record. The transcript has a single exon.